GCCACUGCAGUACAAGAAUUGAGACAAGACACCACGACAAUGAACAACAACAUCACUACCAUGAUGCGAUUCUGGAACAUUGGGUAAGACCGACAACCACAUCCAGCUUGGGGGAGUUCCUCCCCAUUUUAUCAAGUAAGUUUUUAUUUGCUUUUCUUAUUUAUUCUUUUCUGUUUUAGUGUUUUAUUUUAAAGAGAAAAAAACUUAGAAAACCUAAUAAAUAUUUUAUUGCUUUAAUUUACUGCAUUCUAUAAACAUGAAAACAAAAUAAAAAGAGUGUGUAGAUAAGUGUGCUUAUUUAUCUGCCAAGUGUUAAUCUCUAGAAAAAUAAAAAGACCAAAAAGAUGCUUGAUGGAAAUGAUGAACAGUUGCUCUAUUUACUUACUUUCGAGUACCUAGCUUUUAUAUUAGAGUUCUUCCAGGAAUUACUAAAAACUAAAAUUGAAUAUCUAUGGGAAGCAUGAACCUAAAACUAAAGUCUAGGUAAGAGAAGGACAUGAUAUAAAGUUUGAGCUGUUGUUUAUCUUGUUCCUACUACACUGAGUUCUCGAGAUUUAUUUUGAAAACUUGCAAAUCACAUGAUGAGUUCCUAGCAUGACAAAAUUCCUACCACAGCCAUACUUCCUAUAACAUCUUUUACUUAUAUUCACAUUAAGUUUGAUCGAGCUGUGUAGACCCUUAAGACUUUUCAUGUGGUUAAAUUAAGAUAUUCACUAGCACAUAUCUACUACACCAUUCACCACCAUUCAUUAAAAUCUGUUAAAAAUAUUAUCACUCACUAUCCCAAGUGUUGUUAUUCUCUCUCUCCAAAAAGAUUCAAUGCAGAAGAGACAUGGGUUAUGCAAUAAUAUGUGAGGAAAUAAAAAGGGGCAAGUGCCCGGAACCUCGAAAAAGAAAAAAAAAGAGUGAGACGAGAGGUAAAAAUGGACAAGUGUCCGGAGUAGAAUUAGGGGUACAAAGAUGCCCACGUGAGCAGAAAAAUGGACAAGUGUCCGACAGUAGAAUUAGGGGUAUUUACUACCCACCUGGAAAAAAAAGAGAGAUAGCCCAUGUUCUCCGAAGGCAAAGAUCAAGAGAGAAGGAGAGAUAGCAAUAUGAGGAGCAAUGAGAAGUAAGUUUUAUCAUCACUUAUACAUUUUUACCAUCACUAUCAUUUACUCCACCACACAUGCACAUCUUGAUUUAAUUAUAUGUUGAGUUCCUUUGGAUCCAUGGCUCAAUUAGACAACAUAUGUAUCAGCUAUUUUUCACACCUAUGAGCUCCACUUAAAUAUUCCAUUAGCUAUAGGUAGGUGACAUCUUUGUAAGGAUCCACAAAUACCACAUAUAGAGAGACUUGAGAGAAUCAUAGCUGGGAACUCUGAGUUUUAUUUUUGAAAACUUAUGCAAAACUCCGAAACAAAGGUGAAGUAUAGACAGGAGGAAUAGUGCUUGACUAAACUAUUUUAUCUUUCGAUUACUUAAGAUUUAAGUGCAGGUACUAAGCUCCAUGACACUUCACUCUAAUCUCAAAGAAUUUUUAUGUGAAAGCAUGUGUGCCUGUCAGGAAAGAAACAUCGAAGCAACUCCUGAUCCAUCUGAGUUUAGCUGUUUGCUCAGGGACGAGCAAAGGGUAAGCUUGGGGGAGUUUGUUGACAGUCCUUAAGUACUAAAUUUAAUCAUUAACUAACUAUAGAAAAGGAUCAAUAUGCACCAAACAUCUAGAAUUAGGGUUUUAUCUGACAGAAUUCCACGAGCUUUGGUGUUUGUCUAUUUCUGCAGGGGGUUAUCAGAAAAUAUGGAGAGAAGGCACACAUGUCAUGUUUACAAUGAGAUAAUUACGUGCCGCGCAAUUUUCCUUAAUCUAGAAGAGUCCAGAAGCCACGGGAACGAACGGGAGACCGGACGGGCUCGGGGGUAGGGCGCCCGCCCUGGCCUCGGGGCCAAUCACAACCAAUCUCGCAGAUUAUGCUCCACCGACCUAAAGGAUCAAGGAAAACCGUGCGAUCAAUGUCGGUUUGAUCCGACGGCCCAAAUUCACUUGAGAGGACUAUAUAAGCAAGACCUCUCCACCCCAGGGGGAGGGAGGAAAAAUCAUUAUCAGAGGAAGUCAUCAAAGUUAGGGUUUUAGAUCUUCUCUCCCAUAGAGAAUUAGAAUUAGCUACUCCCUAAUCCUUCAAGUUUAGAGGAUUGAUUAGAUAGAAUUAGAGCAGUAGAGCCUAGCGCUCUGGAUUCGGAUCUUCCUUAAUAAAGAUUGGUAUUAUUUCAUAUCUUUCUCUACUACUUUAUUCUAAUUGCAUUAUGUCUCUAUUUAUUAUGCUCUUAGUUUGCUCUAGUUCUAUAUUUGAUAUAGUUAUGAUUGAUAAUGAGUUUAUGUAUAAGUUUGCAAAGCGCUUAGCUCUUUACACGUGGGAGUUAAGUGGUAGAUCACAUGUAGGCAUGGUGCUUAGAUGAUAUUUACCUGCAAAUGUAUCUUAUUGGCCGGGCCGUGUGGUAGUUCGCGAUAGUGACAGCUUCGUUGAUUCUUAUAUAGUCCACUCUCCAUUGAUAGGACAGGCAAAAUUUGUAUUGCGGAGUAAGUCUUGCGAUGCUCUGAUUUACUUUAGCAAUGUUCCUUAUACAUGAAUGAAGAGUCUUUUAUGUUAUAUAUGAUCUUGUAGAUAACUAGAGUAGAUUGUGACUUAGUAGAUAGUAGAUAACUUAGAAUCCAUUCUCUAGCUAAUACGACGUCACAUUACAUAAAUGAUAGUAGUCUAUUUUCUAAUCGCUGUGUUAUUUACCCAUGAGCUUAUAUUUCAUUAUCAUUAUUAUUAUGGCUUACCCCCCUGCCAAAAUAAGUGACUGUGUGAUGAGUUCCUCAUUAGUAAUCAUAUUCUUGCAAGUUUAUCUCUAGUCUAUGCCUUGAUAGAUUUUAUCCUUAUCUUCAUUUCCACUGUUCUCUUAAGCAAAAUUAUAAAAAACAAUACCUGGAAUACUUUCCUGGUGAAAUGCUACAAUGAGGUAUUUUAUCUGUGCGCUUGUGGAUAGAAUAGAUUAUUUUCUAGAGAGCCUUUACAUUCAUAAAUACCUUCGUACACUCUGGCACCAUGCUGGGGAUGACAACCUAGUAUCCAAGUGGUGUUAGUAAGUGUUAACAUCGUUCAUAUGAAUAAAAGAGACAAACACGUAUGAUUUACAACUCUAGAUUAACCAACCCAAUCGAUUCAACAUGUUUAGUCCUUCCACCUUUGUGAUCCCACACUCCUAAUCAUAUGAAGUAAAAUAUUGCACACUCAAUCUUUGGAAGAUAUAUAUAAAAAACAUAAAUAUAGAUAGAUUAUCUUUCUAUUAGGUUGAGCGAUCUGAUCCGACAAAUGUUUUAAAUGCUACACUCAUGAUCUUAUUAUCCAUCAACUUUGUCUUGCUCACUAUGCUUAAGGUUAGAGAAGAACAAAUACACUUUUGGUUCUGUUGGUGUUUUCCACCAAUAGGGCCCAUGCACUUGAUCUCUGCCUUGUCUCUAUGAGCAGGUACACUUCGAGCAAAACAUGGAGGAGUUUUACAACUCCCAGACUCCACCAAGUGAAGGACCUGGAUCUACGAGCACAAACACACUGAGCAGGAUAUUGCCAACGCAGCACUUCGAACUGUUGGGCAAGCAUGGGUGACACCGUAUCAAGAGGUGCAGACGUCAAGGUCCACACUUGAAUCAAAUGACGCACCUAAAGAAUGAACACGGUGAGAAGUCUUGUCCAGAAGACUUAAAACAUUGGAUCCUUGCCGGAAGGUAAAAUCGGUAUUUAUCCAUAUUUAUCUUUUCUGCAUUCAUUUUCCUUUUUAUUCCAUCACUUGCAUUAGCAUAUUAACUUUUCCACAUUAGCAUUAGAAAAGAAAACAAAAAUAUUUAUUCGUUGCACUGCAUCAUAAAAUCUAAAGCCCCAUAUGAGUAGACUUGUGGUUUAAAACCCAUAGGUAUAUUGACUGUGGUGGCAUAAAAUAAAUAUGUUUUCAUCCUACAAUAAAAAUAUAAAAAUAAAUUUAUGAUCCUACCAAAGAGAGUAACAUUUAUUGAGGAGGCUCAACAUGAUAAAGGCUAGAUAUUUAUGCUAACACUUAACCAGUUUCACAAAGCUUUGUUGUCUAUUUGAGCUCCACAGAAUUCAAGGAUCCAAGAAGACUAGCAGACGGAGGACGUCCUAAUCGCUGUCAGGGUGCUGCCGAUAUUCAAAUACACCUCCGCCACCUGCGAGCUACAUCAGAAGAAAUUACGUCAAAAUCCAGCUUGGGGGAGAGCACCCCCAUUUAUCCAGCUAAGUGUUUCUACUCGCGUUUAUACUUUACUCAAAUAAUAAAAAAGAUGCAUAAUCAUAAAAAAACCCAAAUAAAUAUUUUGUGCUUUUAUAUCUUUGCUUAGUUUGCUAAAUAAAUAAAUAAAUAAAGUUUGCUAUGAACCCUCAUGAUAAGCUCUCACAUGGAAAUGAUGAAUAGUUGCUCUACCAUGACUAGUUCUCAAAAUUAAAAUCUCUCUCAAGUUUAGGCAUGACAGUUAUGAAUUAAGAUUUGCUCUAAACCUGAACUUGUAGGAAGGGUACAAGUCGUUAACGGAUAUGAUAUGGGAAGGUUGAGCUGCUGUUUAUCUGUUCCUAGAAUUCUGGAGAAUUUUAUCUUUGAAAAUCUUUAAAAUGUUGCAUGAUGAGUUCCUGUAUCAUGAAAGUUUAAAAUCUUACCACAGCCAUAUAUACAUGCUUAUUAGACUAUGAACCAUACAUUUACAUUUUACUGCUUAUGAGCAUUGAGUGUGGUCAAGCUGUGUAGACCCUUAGGAGCUUGUCAUACAGUUAAAAUCAAGAUUCACUUGCACGUUCACUCAUACAUGCUGCUUCUACUCCGAAAGUAUGCAUCCACAAACAUCCACUCAUUUCCAUCUCCAGAUUCACCCAAAAUUAUUUUACUCCUAUCCAGGAGAGAAUAGCCAAAAAUAUUAUCCUAUCUCUGCUAUUUCCCGUGAAAUAAAUGCUCGAGAUAUUUUGGUUACUACCACUUGCUACAUUAUUCUAGGAGGGUGAGUGCUCUGAAAAAAAAAAGUGAAUACGAGGAAAUAAAAAGGGACAAGUGCCCGGAACCUCGAAGGAAAGAAAAAGUGAGAUGAGAGGUAAAAAUGGACAAGUGUCCGACAGUAGAAUUAGGGGUACAAGAUACCCACCUGAGAGAAAAGAAAAAGAAAAUAUAGAGCAUCUCAUUCUCCUCAAAAAGCUUCAAAGUGCAAGAAAGGUAUGUAUCCCCUUAAAAGAGCAAAAGUAGAAUUAGACUUUCACCAUUGUUAUCACCAUACACCAUUCAUUCGCCACACAUGCACAUCUUGAUUUAACUUAUUGACUUGUUUCUCUAGAUCCAUGGUUUGACUAUGCAAUAAAUGUCUUGUAAGUAUGUAUGCUUUAUCUCCCACCUAUGAGCUCCAGAUAUCAAAACCUUAUUAGAGUAGGGUGAGAGAGAAGGCAAUAUCACUAUGCCUCAUACCAAAAAUACCACAUACUUUGAGAGAAGGCAUAUACCAUUACUGCCUUGGAAAGGAUCCAGAAAUACCACAAA
Molecule: long non-coding RNA, 5547 nt
Filed under: Sorghum bicolor (sorghum)
Lineage: Eukaryota; Viridiplantae; Streptophyta; Magnoliopsida; Poales; Poaceae
Description: long non-coding RNA (SBIC_LNC015605)
Source: RNAcentral